GGCUCAAUGAUUUUUACCAGUCUAUCUGGUUAUAUACGCUAUUCUGAUUUCAGCUGUUGACAAAAUAGUAUUUAUGAGAGCU
Molecule: small nucleolar RNA, 82 nt
Organism: Panicum hallii
Lineage: Eukaryota; Viridiplantae; Streptophyta; Magnoliopsida; Poales; Poaceae
Product: small nucleolar RNA U54
Exons: 1
Source: RefSeq, a predicted model, not a curated record